Molecule: ribosomal RNA, 253 nt
Filed under: uncultured bacterium
Lineage: Bacteria
Description: partial 16S ribosomal RNA
Rfam family: Bacterial small subunit ribosomal RNA
Source: RNAcentral
UACAGAGGGUGCGAGCGUUAAUCGGAUUUACUGGGCGUAAAGCGUGUGUAGGCGGUUUGUUAAGUCGGGUGUGAAAUCCCUGGGCUCAACCUGGGGAUUGCAUUCGAUACUGGCAAGCUAGAGUACGGUAGAGGGCGGCGGAAUUCCUGGUGUAGCGGUGAAAUGCGCAGAUAUCAGGAGGAACACCAAUGGCGAAGGCAGCUCGCUGGAACGGUACUGACGCUGAGGCGCGAAAGCGUGGGGAGCGAACAGG